This 207-nucleotide ribosomal RNA is filed under the name Escherichia coli. RNAcentral's name for it is "partial 16S ribosomal RNA". It matches the Rfam family "Bacterial small subunit ribosomal RNA", at positions 1 to 215 of the family's 1533-position model. The record is from RNAcentral. Lineage: Bacteria; Pseudomonadati; Pseudomonadota; Gammaproteobacteria; Enterobacterales; Enterobacteriaceae.
AAAUUGAAGAGUUUGAUCAUGGCUCAGAUUGAACGCUGGCGGCAGGCCUAACACAUGCAAGUCGAACGGUAACAGGAAGAAGCUUGCUUCUUUGCUGACGAGUGGCGGACGGGUGAGUAAUGUCUGGGAAACUGCCUGAUGGAGGGGGAUAACUACUGGAAACGGUAGCUAAUACCGCAUAACGUCGCAAGACCAAAGAGGGGGCCC